RNAcentral lists this ribosomal RNA (440 nucleotides) under uncultured bacterium. Its description in RNAcentral is "partial 16S ribosomal RNA". It matches the Rfam family "Bacterial small subunit ribosomal RNA", at positions 338 to 795 of the family's 1533-position model. The record is from RNAcentral.
CCUACGGGAGACAGCAGUGGGGAAUAUUGCACAAUGGGGGAAAGCCUGACGCAGCGACGCCGCGUGAGUGAAGAAGUACUUCGUUACGUAAAGCUCUAUCAGCAGGGAAGAAAAUGCCGGUACCUGAGUAAGAAGCCCUUGCUAACUACGUGCCAGCAGCCGCGGUCAUACGGAGGGGGCAAGCGUUAUCCGGAUUUACUGGGUGUAAAGGGAGCGUAGACGGCGCGCCAAGUCUCGAGUGAAAUGCCGCAGCUUAACGGCGGAACUGCUUUGGAAACUGGCGAACUAGAGUGCGGGAGGGGUAAGCGGAAUUCCUGGUGUAGCGGUGAAAUGCGUAGAUAUUAGGAGGAACACCGGUGGCGAAGGCGACUUACUGGAACGUAACUGACGUUGAGGCUCGAAAGCGUGGGGAGCAAACAGGAUUAGAUACCCGAGUAGUC